AGUGAACGCUGGCGGUAGGCCUAACACAUGCAAGUCGAACGGCAGCACAGUAAGAGCUUGCUCUUACGGGUGGCGAGUGGCGGACGGGUGAGGAAUACAUCGGAAUCUACUUUUUCGUGGGGGAUAACGUAGGGAAACUUACGCUAAUACCGCAUACGACCUACGGGUGAAAGCAGGGGAUCUUCGGACCUUGCGCGAUUGAAUGAGCCGAUGUCGGAUUAGCUAGUUGGCGGGGUAAAGGCCCACCAAGUCGACGAUCCGUAGCUGGUCUGAGAGGAUGAUCAGCCACACUGGAACUGAGACACGGUCCAGACUCCUACGGGAGGCAGCAGUGGGGAAUAUUGGACAAUGGGCGCAAGCCUGAUCCAGCCAUACCGCGUGUGUGAAGAAGGCCUUCGGGUUGUAAAGCCCUUUUGUUGGGAAAGAAAAGCAGCAGGUUAAUACCCCGCUGUUCUGACGGUACCCAAAGAAUAAGCACCGGCUAACUUCGUG
Molecule: ribosomal RNA, 492 nt
Filed under: uncultured bacterium
Lineage: Bacteria
Description: partial 16S ribosomal RNA
Rfam family: Bacterial small subunit ribosomal RNA
Source: RNAcentral